This 395-nucleotide long non-coding RNA is filed under the name Mustela putorius furo (domestic ferret). RNAcentral's name for it is "lncRNA (ENSMPUG00000028494.1)". The record is from RNAcentral. Lineage: Eukaryota; Metazoa; Chordata; Mammalia; Carnivora; Mustelidae.
GAGAAAUCCCAGCAGGUCUUUCUUUUGGUGACAGGAAAGGUUCAUAACUUUAUGGAAAACAAACUGAUGAAUGCUUUCUGGAAAUUCUUUUAGAGGCCCUUUCCUUCCGUUUUCUGCCCUGGAUGGUGGAGGUGGUAAUACAUAUUCGGCUUUCCUUUCAGGGCUGUAGCAAGAAGAAAUGAGAUAAUGUUUGCAAAGACACUUAAACGUACGUCUGUCAGAGUACUGGACAUCAAGGUGAUAAACAUGCAGAUGAAUUCGGACUGUGCGUGUGGCCCAAAUCCCGGCCAUGUCCCCUGCUGAUGAAGCACAGGAAGAGAAAAGUAAAGGUAAUCUCUGGAUAACCAUGCCCAGAAAGAUAUUUCAAGGGCCAGACUUCUGCUGAAAGAGGCUAU